AUGGAUAACUCCCCGAUAGCUCAGCUCAAGCCUGUCCUCGACCAAGAAUCCCAAGCGAAGCCAAAGAAAGGAGGAUGGAUCACUCUUCCCUUCAUAGCUGCGACCAUGCUGGGGCUGGGGCUGGCCGUUAACGGGACUACCAGCAACAUGCUCGUGUACCUGCUCAAGGAGUACCACGUGGACGGCGUCGAUGCCGCGCAGAUCACCAACAUCGUCCGUGGCUCCCUCAACCUGGUGCCCAUCGCCGGCGCCAUCCUCUCCGACUCCUACCUAGGCUGCUUCCCCGUCAUCCUCGCGGGAGCGGCCAUCAACCUUCUGUCUUUUGUGCUGUUCACGCUCACCGCAGCGCUGCCAUCCUUGCGGCCGCCACACUGCACAUCACUGUCGGCCAAGUGUCAGCAAGCAUCCCCGGGGCAGCUCGCCGUGUUGUACGGUGCCAUCUGCCUUCUCGCCAUUGGCGCUGGCGGGACACGUUUCAACAUCUCGACGAUGGGUGCGGACCAGUUCGAAAGCACGAGCGACAAGGACACCUUCUUCAACUGGUACAUGGUCUUCCUCUACACCUCCUUCAUGCUUGGCGACACAGCCAUCGUCUACAUCCAGGACAGCAUUUCAUGGGCCGUGGGCUUUGGUGUUUGCCUCGCCACUUCGGCGUUGGGCCUGGUCAUGCUUCUUCUGGGCGUACGUUACUACCAGAUGCCGGCAACAAAGGGCAACCCAUACACAGAGCUGGCUCGCGUCAUUGUUGCUUCCGUGCGCAAGGUUGGCAUCAAAGUCGGCGGCGUACACGGCAGUGUGCAGUACAACGUCGGUGCCGGCGCCCUUGUGGACUCGGCCGCUGACGAGGCACCAAGCAAAAACUUAAGAUUUCUGAAUCGAGCCGCCAUGAUCACUGCAAGUGACGACAGCUCCAGGUCCGGAGAUGGAUCAGGUGGUGCGUGGCGGCUGUGCACAGUGCAGCAGGUGGAGGGCCUCAAGGCCCUCCUCAGCAUCAUCCCGGUGUGGUCAUCCGGUAUACUGUUGUUCAUGUCGAUCGGCGUGAUGAUCGGCAUGAUCGUCCUGCAGGCGCUCGCUAUGGACCGCUCCGUUGGACCACACUUCAGCAUCCCGGCGGGGUCGGUCGCCGUCAGCUGUCGCGUCUCGUUCAUCUUGGCCACCCUGGUCCUGGACCGUGUUGUAUUCCCUCUUUGGCGCAGGAUCACCGGUGGCACGCCACCGACACCGCUGCAGCGCGUGGGCAUCGGCCACGUUUUAAAUGUCACUGCCAUGGUCGCUGCCGCACUGGUGGAGCGCCGGAGGCUUGCGCAACCUGGCGUGCCCAUGUCCGUGAUGUGGCUCCUGUUCCCGCUGGGCAUCGUCGGGGUCGGGGAGGCCCUGCACUUCCCUGGGAGCAUGGCUUUCUACUACCAGGAAUUUCCCAACACGCUGCGGAGCCUGGCUACGGCCAUGGCUCCGAUGCUCGUAGCGUUAGGAUUCUUCUCGAGCACCAUGUUUAUGGACGUGGUGACGCGGAUCACGGCGUGGCUGCCGGAGAACAUAGACCACGGGAGGCUGGACAACGUAUACUGGACGCUUGCGGCUUCGGGGACACUCAACCUUGCAUAUUUCCUCGCCUGCGCCAGGCGAUACAAGUACCACAACCGAGCGGCAACAUAG
RNAcentral lists this ribosomal RNA (1656 nucleotides) under Triticum aestivum (bread wheat). RNAcentral describes it as "partial small subunit ribosomal RNA". The record is from RNAcentral. Lineage: Eukaryota; Viridiplantae; Streptophyta; Magnoliopsida; Poales; Poaceae.